GUGCCAGCCGCCGCGGUAAUACGUAGGGUGCGAGCGUUAAUCGGAAUUACUGGGCGUAAAGCGUGCGCAGGCGGUUUCGUAAGACAGGUGUGAAAGCCCCGGGCUUAACCUGGGAAUUGCGCUUGUGACUGCGAGGCUGGAGUGCGGCAGAGGGAGGUGGAAUUCCACGUGUAGCAGUGAAAUGCGUAGAGAUGUGGAGGAACACCGAUGGCGAAGGCAGCCUCCUGGGCUAGCACUGACGCUCAUGCACGAAAGCGUGGGGAGCAAACAGGAUUAGAAACCCCCGUAGUCC
RNAcentral lists this ribosomal RNA (292 nucleotides) under uncultured bacterium. RNAcentral describes it as "partial 16S ribosomal RNA". It matches the Rfam family "Bacterial small subunit ribosomal RNA", at positions 505 to 796 of the family's 1533-position model. The record is from RNAcentral.